Molecule: ribosomal RNA, 423 nt
Filed under: uncultured soil bacterium
Lineage: Bacteria
Description: bacterial SSU rRNA
Rfam family: Bacterial small subunit ribosomal RNA
Source: RNAcentral
AGAUUGAACGCUGGCGGCAGGCCUAACACAUGCAAGUCGAGCGGUAGAGAGGUGCUUGCACCUCUUGAGAGCGGCGGACGGGUGAGUAAUGCCUAGGAAUCUGCCUAGUGGUGGGGGAUAACGUUCGGAAACGGACGCUAAUACCGCAUACGUCCUACGGGAGAAAGCGGGGGACCUUCGGGCCUCGCGCCAUUAGAUGAGCCUAGGUCGGAUUAGCUAGUUGGUGAGGUAAUGGCUCACCAAGGCGACGAUCCGUAACUGGUCUGAGAGGAUGAUCAGUCACACUGGAACUGAGACACGGUCCAGACCUCCGUAACGGGAGCGACGGACAGGUGGGGAAAUAGUUAGGACAAGUGGGACGAAAGCCUGAUCCAGCCAGUCGCCGUCGUGUGUAGAACGAAGGUUCGUCGGUAAUUAGUAAAG